AGCAGCCGCGGUAAUUCCAGCUCCAAUAGCGUAUAUUAAAGUUGCUGCAGUUAAAAAGCUCGUAGUUGAAUUUCGGGACCAAUAUGUCGGUCGUGCCUCGGUACGUACUGGCAUCGUUGGUUUCUCCCUUCUGAUGAACCAUGAUGUCAUUUAUUUGGUGUCGUGGGGAAUCAGGACUGUUACUUUGAAAAAAUUAGAGUGUUUAAAGCAGGCUCACGCUUGAAUACAUUAGCAUGGAAUAAUGAAAUAGGACGUUUGAUUCUAUUUUGUUGGUUUCUAGGAUCGACGUAAUGAUUAAUAGGGAUAGUUGGGGGCAUUAGUAUUCAAUUGUCAGAGGUGAAACUCUUGGAUUUAUUGAAGACUAACUACUGCGAAAGCAUUUGCCAAGGAUGUUUUCAUUAAUCAAGAACGAAAGUUAGGGGAUCGAAGACGAUCAGAUACCGUCGUAGUCUUAACCAUAAACUAUGCCGACUAGGGAUCGGAUGAUGUUAAUUUUUUAAUGACUCA
RNAcentral lists this ribosomal RNA (507 nucleotides) under uncultured glomeraceous AM fungus. RNAcentral's name for it is "SSU rRNA". It matches the Rfam family "Eukaryotic small subunit ribosomal RNA", at positions 569 to 1078 of the family's 1831-position model. The record is from RNAcentral. Lineage: Eukaryota; Fungi; Glomeromycota; Glomeromycetes; Glomerales; Glomeraceae.